GAUGAACGCUGGCGGCGUGCCUAAUACAUGCAAGUCGAGCGAACAGACGAGGAGCUUGCUCCUCUGACGUUAGCGGCGGACGGGUGAGUAACACGUGGAUAACCUACCUAUAAGACUGGGAUAACUUCGGGAAACCGGAGCUAAUACCGGAUAAUAUAUUGAACCGCAUGGUUCAAUAGUGAAAGACGGUUUUGCUGUCACUUAUAGAUGGAUCCGCGCCGCAUUAGCUAGUUGGUAAGGUAACGGCUUACCAAGGCAACGAUGCGUAGCCGACCUGAGAGGGUGAUCGGCCACACUGGAACUGAGACACGGUCCAGACUCCUACGGGAGGCAGCAGUAGGGAAUCUUCCGCAAUGGGCGAAAGCCUGACGGAGCAACGCCGCGUGAGUGAUGAAGGUCUUCGGAUCGUAAAACUCUGUUAUUAGGGAAGAACAAAUAUGUAAGUAACUAUGCACGUCUUGACGGGACCUAAUCAGAAAGCCACGGCUAACUACGU
RNAcentral lists this ribosomal RNA (496 nucleotides) under uncultured bacterium. Its description in RNAcentral is "partial 16S ribosomal RNA". It matches the Rfam family "Bacterial small subunit ribosomal RNA", at positions 28 to 506 of the family's 1533-position model. The record is from RNAcentral.